This 327-nucleotide ribosomal RNA is filed under the name Potamonautes langi. Its description in RNAcentral is "partial 12S ribosomal RNA". The record is from RNAcentral. Lineage: Eukaryota; Metazoa; Arthropoda; Malacostraca; Decapoda; Potamonautidae.
AUUUUCUUUAAAUUUAAAGAAUUUGGCGGUAAUUUAGUCUAGUCAGAGGAACCUGCUUUUUAAUCGAUACAACACGUAGAAUUUUACUUAUUUUUGUUUAGUUUGUAUACCAUCAUUGGCAGAUAAUUUUAUAGAAAAUAAAAUUAUUAAAAAUAAUUUAUUAACAAAAUUAGAUCAAGGUGCAGCUUAUAAAUAAGUUAAAGUGGGUUACAAUAAGAUUUAUUUAAACGAAAUUUAAAUAGAAAUAUUUUUAGGAAGGAGGAUUUGAUUGUAAUAUAAAUUUAAUAAGUUUAGGAGAUAGGAGCUCUAAAUUGUGUACACAUCGCC